Long non-coding RNA from Mustela erminea (ermine), 3094 nucleotides. RefSeq lists it as uncharacterized. NCBI's taxonomy places the organism in Eukaryota, Metazoa, Chordata, Mammalia, Carnivora, Mustelidae. The record is from RefSeq and is a predicted model, not a curated record. The transcript is spliced from 2 exons.
ACCUGAGCUGAAGGCAGAGGCUUAACCCACUGAGCCACCCAGGCACCGGGUCUUGAGGUUUUGUUUGAGAAAUCAGGUGAAGACACAGGAGAGGAACCAGACUGAGGUGACUAAAGGGAGAUGGAGAGGGAUUCCUGGUGCCUCAGUCAGUUAAGUGUCCAACUCUUGAUUUCAGCUCAGGGCAUGGUCUCAUGGUCCUGGGAUCGAGCCCCGAGUCAGGCUCCGCACUCGGCUCUGGUACGGCAGUUCUCAACCUGUGUUUGUCAUCUUCUGUCAGAACUCCAGAGACAGAUCCCACGCAAAGAGCACUCUGAACAAACAAAAGCUCUCAAAAUAUUGCAGGGAAGCGGAGCCCUGAGAAACGGAACCAGGGGAGGAAGCGAUGCUGUUAUGUAUAUUGUUUUUACACUGAUUAUCCUGGACCGUGUGACGGAGGAAUUUUCCAGUGUGUGAUUUGGAAACAGCUGAACUGUUUCUGAGAAUCUCACAGAAAAGUUUACUUGAAAGCUUUGUGAUUAAUAAGGUAGAACUAUUUCUCUUAAAGCAGAGCUGCGGAUUAUUUUUUUCUGAGGGUUAAGAGAACAUCGUAACCAGGGAUUUCAUUGUCUCUGUACUGGAACAAAUGCUUUUUUCAGAUCUGGACACAGUAUGAAAAAUAAGACUCUUUGCAAGGUGCUUGGGAAAGUUCUGAGUAGCUCCCAAGUGGGGAGGCCUUUGUUCCGGGGUUAAUCAGAGGGACACUGGGAACAUCAUUCACUGCUGGUACAGGUCAGAGAGAAAAGUUCACAUCUGGGUGUUACUAACCACCAAGCCCUUUCUUGCGGUGUUUUCAGAAGUGAUAUAUCGUCAAACAUCCCCAGAGCACAAACCUUUAGUGCAGAUUUAUCGGGGGAAAAGGCUCCUUGUCCAUAUGAUAAAGUUAUAUAUUUAUUUACUUUGAAACUCAGGUAGGUAACAGUGAAGGAAUUUGCGACUGUUAUUUGAACAAAUAUGUCAGCAAGCAAAACUUGCUAGGGUGUUGAAAUUCGCACGUAACGCAAUGCCGGGCAUAUAGUUUGCUGAUUGCCAGGUUGAGUAAAGGAGCUUAUGUAGAUUUUUCCCGAGUCGAUUGGGCCAGCAGGCACGGAAUGGUUAGAUACAGUUUUUGCUUUGUAACUGUUUGCUAAACUGUGCAGACAAGUCUUUUGCUUUGCUAUUUGCAUGCUGCAUUUCGGGAUAAAAAUGUUUUUAAACAUUUUAGGAAAAAAAUGUGAUGGAGUGAAUACCAUACAAGGACUUUGUUUCCUUUAGAGGUUUCUGGGUAAUAUGCUUAAAUUUCCUUUGUCAAGUUUGAAGCAUAAACAUUAGAGUGUUUGCUUGUCAACACACGGAAUUCGGGAAUUAAUUUAUAUUUAGAAAAGCCCUUUGCAAUUUUGAACAUUUUAGGGAACAAGGUUUCCAAGUGUAUCUUGCUAACAGCCAGGAACAGCUGCAUUUUUGCAUAGUUUUUCAGAUGGCUUCUCUGUGACAUCUGUGAAAACAGACAGCUCCAGUCACUAAGCAUGCUGGGAUUGCACAGCACAUUUGAGGGCCUGAGUCGCCUGUCGCCGAACAGGCUGCCGGUUUGUACCAAAAAAUGUACUUCACUUGCACCUGAAUUCUAAGUUGACAUUAGAAAAAUGGGAAGGAUGGAAACUUCUGGCAAAAAGCAUAGAAUGCGUCACUUUGUUGUUUAUACAUGCUUAAAUAAGAGAAUAACGAGGUGAUUCCUUAUCAGUAGAUUGAACUGGGGACACGGGUUAGCACAUCAGUGAGAAAUGGUUCUGGCUUACCCAGCGGCCUUGUCUCUAGCGUUAUUAGUCAGGAAUGAGAGUUCAGAGUGGGUGCUGUUCACGCCAGCACAGAACAGGAUUGAGGGUGUUUGGGUGGGAUUGGUGCGGGGGCGGGGAGGUUGAUGGUUGGAGCGGGGACACCUGCCCACAAAGCAUUUUGUGGAUUUCUUUCACUUGGGUAGGUUUCUCCUGCCCCUGCCCCCAACCCCAGUCCUUUGUGUUUGCGAUUUACAGGAAAAGACAAGAUCAGUCUUUUGAAGUAAAUCAGCUAGUUAAUAACAGGUGACCACAGGGCCCUUUCCAAGAUUAUAGAUGAGUUCCGAAGAUUCAGCGUGGCGAAGGAGCUUUCUUUUACUCUUGGACGGACCCUCUUAGUUUUUACUCAUGAAAAGCCUUCGCUGGGGAGACCCGGGGACUGAUCUCCACCCCCACCCCCAGUGCUUCCAAUUAGGGAUCUAUUAUCUCACUGCAGAUAAUUGGAAAAGGAUAUUCAAAAUACAACUUCGCGUAAAUACGGUUUUUGCCUGCAUUAGAUUACUCGGCGUUCUGAGCACAUCUGGAGUGAGGGCGGCCCCAGGGACCUUGAAGCGGGCUGUUUGGGUUGGCACAGUGACAUUUAGUGUAUGCCAAUUUGUAAUGGCUUUUGGAAACAGGCAGUUUUAAACUCUCCCUGAACUAUUCCCCCGAGAAAUUAUUCAAUUAAGUACAACUAAAAUUAAUGUUUAGCAUUUUUUGUUUAAGUAAAAUAGGCAGCUCUAGAGGGAAAUCUGCGGUUCAUGCCCGAGCUCUCACUUGAGUCUAAAAUCUUACUCCUAAGAAAUAACCGGGUGUCCUGGAAUCGGGGCAUUUUCCAGAAGAGACAGAGCUGCCAGCUCCUCCUGACCGCUUUCACGCUGAGCACACGUCUUUCUUGCUGCCUCGGCGGGUUCGGACACCUGGGUGCGAGUGCAGUUUGCACGCCUUCCAGCACCGGCUGGGGAGCCCCUGGGGACAACAGAGCCAGAAGGACUCCCUUCCCUCUCUGCUAAGUCUGUGCUUCUCAAACUGUAAUGAGCAUAAAUAUCCCCCAGACGUCUUGUUAAAAUGCAGAUUGUGAUUCAUUAGUUCCGGGGUGGGGCCCGAGAUUCACUCCCAUCGGAUAAGCUCCCUGGGGAUGCCGCUGCCCGUGGCUGAGGACCAUAUGGGAGAGCAGUGGGGUUCUAAACGGGCAUGGGAUGUGGGCGGGCGUGCAUGUUUGGGGCGGAGCCCCUGGGCUUCAGUGUGACUUCUGGUCUGUGGCUUGA